AGUGAACGCUGGCGGUAGGCCUAACACAUGCAAGUCGAACGGCAGCACAGUAAGAGCUUGCUCUUACGGGUGGCGAGUGGCGGACGGGUGAGGAAUACAUCGGAAUCUACUUUUUCGUGGGGGAUAACGUAGGGAAACUUACGCUAAUACCGCAUACGACCUACGGGUGAAAGCAGGGGAUCUUCGGACCUUGCGCGAUUGAAUGAGCCGAUGUCGGAUUAGCUAGUUGGCGGGGUAAAGGCCCACCAAGGCGACGAUCCGUAGCUGGUCUGAGAGGAUGAUCAGCCACACUGGAACUGAGACACGGUCCAGACGCCUACGGGAGGCAGCAGUGGGGAAUAUUGGACAAUGGGCGCAAGCCUGAUCCAGCCAUACCGCGUGGGUGAAGAAGGCCUUCGGGUUGUAAAGCCCUUUUGUUGGGAAAGAAAAGCAGCAGGUUAAUACCCCGCUGUUCUGACGGUGCCCAAAGAAUAAGCACCGGCUAACUUCGUG
This 492-nucleotide ribosomal RNA is filed under the name uncultured bacterium. RNAcentral's name for it is "partial 16S ribosomal RNA". It matches the Rfam family "Bacterial small subunit ribosomal RNA", at positions 29 to 507 of the family's 1533-position model. The record is from RNAcentral.